RNAcentral lists this ribosomal RNA (253 nucleotides) under uncultured bacterium. Its description in RNAcentral is "partial 16S ribosomal RNA". It matches the Rfam family "Bacterial small subunit ribosomal RNA", at positions 524 to 776 of the family's 1533-position model. The record is from RNAcentral.
UACGUAGGUGGCAAGCGUUGUCCGGAAUUAUUGGGCGUAAAGCGCGCGCAGGCGGUCCUUUAAGUCUGAUGUGAAAGCCCACGGCUCAACCGUGGAGGGUCAUUGGAAACUGGGGGACUUGAGUGCAGGAGAGAAAAGUGGAAUUCCACGUGUAGCGGUGAAAUGCGUAGAGAUGUGGAGGAACACCAGUGGCGAAGGCGACUUUUUGGCCUGUAACUGACGCUGAGGCGCGAAAGCGUGGGGAGCAAACAGG